UACAUCACAAUAACGACACAAUGACACAACAUACACUCACACUGUCAUACAUAUCGCUCUCUUCUAAAAUUCAAAGCCCUAAUUUUAAAUCUUCUUGUUCUCCCCCAAUUAUUUUCAGACGCAAUGAGCAGGUCGAGUAAGGUUCUGUAUGUUGGCAAUCUCCCUGGCGAUGUUCGCGAGCGCGAAGUCGAAGAUAUUUUUUACAAGUAUGGACCAAUUGCUCAUGUUGACUUGAAAAUUCCACCAAGACCGCCUGGCUAUGCAUUUGUUGAGUUUGAAGAGGCUCGUGAUGCUGCUGAUGCUAUGAGGGGACGUGAUGGCUAUGAUUUUGAUGGUCAUCGCUUACGGGUUGAGCUUGCACAUGGCGGGCGUGGAAAUGGUAAUUUAUCUUCAUCAGAUCGCCAUAGUAAUCAUGGCGGUGGUCGUGGUGGUGGUGGACGUGGUGGAGGUGUGUCGAGGCGUUCAGAUUAUCGUGUCAUGGUGAGCGGAUUACCCUCUUCUGCAUCAUGGCAAGACCUUAAGGAUCAUAUGCGUCGUGCAGGAGAUGUAUGCUUUGCCCAAGUUUUUCGUGAGGGUGGCGGCACAACUGGUAUUGUUGAUUAUACGAACUACGACGAUAUGAAAUAUGCUAUAAGGAAAUUGGAUGACUCUGAAUUCAAAAAUGCCUUCUCUCGUGGUGUAAUUCGAGUGAAGGUUUAUGAUUCAAGCCGCAGUCCAGGUCCCUCCAGAGGCCGAAGUUACAGUCGCAGCCGCAGUCGUAGUCGAAGUAAGAGUCGGAGCAGGAGUAAGAGCAAAUCUCCAAAACCUAAAUCUUCACGCCGUUCAAGAUCUCGUUCAAGAUCUGUAUCUUCUCGCUCUCGGUCGCGCUCUAGAUCGAAGCCGCGUGCUCUGUCAAGAUAUUGGAUAUUUGCGGCAUCUCUGGGGAUUGCAUGUUAAAUUCUCGAUGAGACUUGGUUCAAAUGCCAUAUUUGGUUGUGGAGAUAGGAGUUAUCUUGACCAAAGCUUUGAAAGCCUAUCGGGUGUGUCUGUUUAAAUAAGCAUCGGGAAUGUCAAGGGUGCUAUAUGGGACAAAGCAGAUUAUGGAUUUUGAUGGUAAAGCUGGUUCUUGAACUUAGUUCUUUUGAAUCUGGAACUACCAUCCUUUGCCGUGGAAACAUAUAAUUUUGUCCCAUCAAAUGCUGUCAAGCUAAUGAAGCACGCUAUUCAAACUUUAUGGGAUUUUCGGAUCACGGUCAAGGUCCAGGUCUCCAGCACCACCUCGGCAGAAACGUGUUAGUAAAAGCCCCAAAAAGAGCAAGAGUCCAAGUCCACGUCCAAGUCGUAGCCGUAGCAAUAGUGGGUCCAGGUGAUCUCGAAACGCUGUGGGUGAGACUGAGGUGUAUUGCGGAUUGAUGUCAAUGCAUGUGCUUAUCAGUACCAAUCUCUAAUUAUAAACUAAGUUUUAAUUGGUGUACUAGUGAAUUUGAAUCUGAAUGGUUAGAAACCAACUUGUCCUUGUUAUGCUGUACUGUUUUUUUUAAUCUUAAUAUUUAUACCAUCUCUCCAGACUUUAGAAAA
Daucus carota subsp. sativus is the source of this 1557-nucleotide RNA transcript. It is a transcript of the gene named serine/arginine-rich-splicing factor SR34, with no coding region annotated. The record is from RefSeq and is a predicted model, not a curated record. Lineage: Eukaryota; Viridiplantae; Streptophyta; Magnoliopsida; Apiales; Apiaceae. The transcript has 15 exons.